UGCACUUGACACAGGAAAAUUUUCUUCCUGCUGCCUGAUCUCUUUGCAAGAAAGGCCAAAUGUAAAGGAUGAUAACAAUUCAUAAAGAAAAUGGUACUGGAAAAAUUACUCUUCAUCUGCCUAGUUUCAAUUUUGAGAGACAUCAAAUUAUAUGAUUCCAGUACAUAAUUUAAGAUGAAUAAUUUGCCAAAGUAAAAAACAGCUUGACAUGUCAUGCAGAUUGCAUAUUCACCUGGAAGAGAAAUAUGAAUAAUAUCUGAGGGCAGAGAAGGAGCAGCUGCAGGAAGUUUGCCCAAAAUAAUAUUUGUUUCCAAUGGUCAGAUGCCCUAAGUAACAGAAAACAGCGUGUUCUGGCCCGCAUUCAGUUAUUAAUUCCACCUAGAGGAAGCCAACUGCAUGAAUGAGAGUUUGGUUGGCAGAAGCUGGGCCUAACAGCAAGAACUCACCCCACUUCCUGGAUUCGAACCACCAACCUUUCUUUCA
Molecule: long non-coding RNA, 483 nt
Organism: Anolis sagrei ordinatus
Lineage: Eukaryota; Metazoa; Chordata; Lepidosauria; Squamata; Anolidae
Source: RefSeq, a predicted model, not a curated record